GACUACAGGGGUAUCUAAGCCCGUUCGCUCCCCUAGCUUUCGCGCCUCAGUGUCAGACACCGUCCAGAAAGCCGCCUUCGCCACUGGUGUUCCUCCCCAUAUCUACGCAUUUCACCGCUACACGGGGAAUUCCGCUUUCCUCUCCGGUACUCAAGAAUCCCAGUUUCCAUCCCAUCACGGAGUUAAGCUCCGAACUUUCAGAACAGACUUAAGAUCCCACCUGCGCGCGCUUUACGCCCAAUAAUUCCGGACAACGCUUGCCACCUACGUAUUACCGCGGCUGCUGGCACGUAGUUAGCCGUGGCUUCCUUCUUGGGUACCGUCACUCCGCUCCCAUUUCCUGAAGCGGUCGUUCGUCCCCAAUGACAGAGCUUUACGACCCAAGGGCCUUCAUCACUCACGCGGCGUCGCUCCGUCAGACUUUCGUCCAUUGCGGAAGAUUCCCCACUGCAGCCGCCCGUAGG
RNAcentral lists this ribosomal RNA (464 nucleotides) under uncultured Veillonellaceae bacterium. RNAcentral's name for it is "partial 16S ribosomal RNA". The record is from RNAcentral. Lineage: Bacteria; Bacillati; Bacillota; Negativicutes; Veillonellales; Veillonellaceae.